Molecule: ribosomal RNA, 443 nt
Filed under: uncultured bacterium
Lineage: Bacteria
Description: partial 16S ribosomal RNA
Rfam family: Bacterial small subunit ribosomal RNA
Source: RNAcentral
CCUACGGGUGGCAGCAGUGGGGAAUAUUGGGCAAUGGGCGCAAGCCUGACCCAGCAACGCCGCGUGAAUGAAGAAGGCUUUCGGGUUGUAAACUUCUUUUAUCAGGGACGAAGCAACUGACGGUACCUGAUGAGUAAGCCACGGCUAACGACGUGCCAGCAGCCGCGGUAAUACGUAGGGGGCAAGCGUUAUCCGGAUUUACGGGGUGUAAAGGGCGUGUAGGCGGCAGCGCAAGUCAGAAGUGAAAACUACGGGCUCAACCCAUGGCCUGCAUUGGACACUGUGCUUCUAGAGUGCUGGAGAGGCAAGUGGAAUUCCGAGUGUAGCGGUGAAAUGCGUAGAUAUUAGGAGGAACACCAGUGGCGAAGGCGGAUUACUGGACAGUAACUGACGUUGAGGCGCGAAAGCGUGGGGAGCAAACAGGAGUAGAUACCCUGGUAGUC